UACAGAUGGGGCAAGCGUUGUUCGGAAUUACUGGGCGUAAAGGGCGCGUAGGCGGCCCGCUAAGUCGAACGUGAAAUCCCUGGGCUCAACCCAGGAACUGCGUCCGAUACUGGUGGGCUUGAAUCCGGGAGAGGGAUGUGGAAUUCCAGGUGUAGCGGUGAAAUGCGUAGAUAUCUGGAGGAACACCGGUGGCGAAGGCGACAUCCUGGACCGGUAUUGACGCUGAGGCGCGAAAGCCAGGGGAGCAAACGGG
RNAcentral lists this ribosomal RNA (253 nucleotides) under uncultured bacterium. RNAcentral's name for it is "partial 16S ribosomal RNA". It matches the Rfam family "Bacterial small subunit ribosomal RNA", at positions 524 to 776 of the family's 1533-position model. The record is from RNAcentral.